UCUAUUCUCACGUGAUGUUACGAAAGCAUGGGAGUAAACACGAUUAUGAUACCUUGGUCAUCCAUGCUGUAAAACGAUUUUUUUAGAUGUUGCCGCCUAUAGAGGCAAUAGUGGCGCAGCUAACCCGACACAUAGUGCGCCAGGGUGGGUUGCCGUUUCAUGACUUAAAACUCAAGAGGAAUUGACGGGGGGCUGACUCAAGCGGUUGAGCACGCGGUUUAAUUCAGUAAAUCCGGGGAAGACACUCACCUCGUCCGUACAUACCCGAAUGCUUGCACAGAGGGGACCGGGGCGUCGGGGGUGUGGACCACUCCCCCUUUUCCUGGGGGUUAAAUAUGAGAGUCUUUAGAUAUUGGGUAAAGUCCUUCAUCCAACGCAAGCCUUUCCCUUACGCGGCAGCGAGUGAUUAAGGUUCCGUUCAUUAUGCAUUCUUUCACAAACAAACUGGAGGAAGGCGGGGAGGCCGUCAAUUCAUCAUGGCCCUUACGGCCAGGGCUACACACGUGAUACAAUGGUCGGUACAAAGGGUUGCUACCUAGCGAUAGGAUGCUAAUCUCAAAAAGCCGAUCGUAGUCCGGAUUGGAGUCUGCAACUCGACUCCAUGAAGUCGGAAUCGCUAGUAAUCGCGGAUCAGAAUGCCGCGGUGAAUACGUUCCCGGGCCUUGUACACACCGCCCGUCACACCAUGGGAGUUUGUUGCACCAGAAGUAGGUAGUCUAACCGCAAGGAGGACGCGUUAUCCC
Molecule: ribosomal RNA, 743 nt
Filed under: uncultured Acinetobacter sp.
Lineage: Bacteria; Pseudomonadati; Pseudomonadota; Gammaproteobacteria; Moraxellales; Moraxellaceae
Description: bacterial SSU rRNA
Rfam family: Bacterial small subunit ribosomal RNA
Source: RNAcentral